UUUUUUUGUUUUUGUUUUUGUUUUUUUUUUUGCUUUUUAGGGCCAUACCCACAGCAUACAGAAGUUCCCAGGCUAGAGGUUGAAUCAGAGCUGCAGCUGCCAGCCUACCCCAUGGCCACAACAAUGCAGAAUCUGAGCAGCAUCUGCGACCUAUACCACAGCUCACGACAAUACCAGAUCCUUAACUCACUGAGCAAGGCCAGGGAUCGAACUUGCAUCUCCAUGGAUACAGGACAGUAUCCAUGGACAGUGGGUUUGUAACCCACUAAAGCCACGAUGGGAGCUCCCACCACUGUGGUUUUCAAUCAACUUUGCCAUCUUAACCCUGGUGUGACUAAUAAAACAUAUCGGGACUGGGGAAAAUGGAUCAAGAGCCGGUCUGCAAGCCCCUGGUAGGUGAGUCUGCCAAGACGGGGUGGGCCCCUUGGUAUAAAGCCUGAGAGGGUGAGUUUGUGCCUGGGCCCUGCCUAGAAGCCUCUUUCAGGCAAAUGAACGCUGAUAGGAGGAUUCUGAUUUUCCAAAUGAGAUGUCCUCGGCCCUUCCUUCCACUCAGAACAGUCUCAUUUGUCAUUUCAGGGAGUGCCCCAGAGAUACCUGGUCACGUCCAAUGCCCAAAGGCAGACAAGCCCACACCAGUCCUGGCCUCGGGGUCCUCAGGACCAUUUCCAUGUAUUAGAUCCUCCUCUAUGUCUCAGCAAGCCCAUCUGUAAAAUGGGAAAGCAGCCAGCCAGCAGCUCAGGGAGAAUGGCCAUUCCGGAGAGCCUUGGUCCCAGGAGACAAGCCUGGGGCCCUGGCAGCACUGGCAGCGGGAUCGUCCUGCCUUCAGAAGGGAAGGCAGGGGGUUCUGUACCUAGCCUCUCAAUCGGCCUUAUAUCUUGAAUAAAUUGCGUGUUGGAAUUUAAUUUGGAAUCCCUGCUGUUUCCUUGAUAAACGCAAACCACACUGCAAUUAGAGUGAUGAGGCAGGCUGCUGCCGCUCCUGAGACGAACAAUCUGUCUGAGCAAGAAGGGAGGGGACAGGCACUUGGCAGGUGGUGGGUGGACUCGUGCUGGGCGUGUUCUCUGCACUGCCCCCCCCCCCGCCACCUCCCAGGGGAGAAAGGCCCUCAGGGGAUGAGGGUUGUCUACUAACGUCAGCUCCAGGGGGGCAGAGUGGAGAAAGGGUUUCGGGGAGACUAACGCUCGGUACAGCUGAUUCAACCUCUGACUCGGCUCUGAACCUCUGCUCCUUCACCAUCUCAAGUACAUAGUAUCUUGAGCAUUUGCUAUGGUUCAGGCACUGGGCUACGUGCUCUCAAGCUAUUAGCCUACUUAAUCCACUAAGUGGCUUCAGGGCACAGGCACACUCAUCAUCUCCAGGUUACAGGUGAGCUGUGUAAGGGAUGGUGGUAGGUAGGAUUUGAACCCAAUACCCAAGGUCCAAGUCCAUGUUUCACCUUAACCCAUGCAUUUCCCCCAAGGUUCCAGCUUUCCAGGAACUGGUCCAUCUCUCUCUGGUCAUUUGUUACCUCCUCCAAGGACCCCUGUGCCUCCUAUCCCCACACCUCAUAUUGCCUCACUGAAGGGGGAACCCGCUCCCUCUCCACCGUUUCACUGGCAGUGAAAUGGAGGACAGCUGGUGGAUGAGUUCAGGAGAACUGACAGUCCUCAGGGCCAUGGGAACAGGUGCAGGGGGCGUGCCUUGCCUUCCCCAUCUUCCAGGUGGAAAGCAGACUCUUGCGAGGGCUGCUCCUGGAAGCCUGAGCCAUCUGUUUUCUCUCCUGCCCCAGCAUCUCCAUCUGAGACUAGAUGGAAUAGUUGGUGUGGCCUCUUUUAUGAAGGGUUGGCAGAUGGAGUUGCCAAAAAGUGUCAUUUUGGCUUCAGGUCUGGGCUGCACACAUUCAAAACUGAUUUUUGAACCUUAUUUUGUUCAGUUCUUUGUACUGAUAUACUAUAAGCCAGAAUUCAGAGCAAGAGAGGAACUGGUCCCCUCAACCUAACUCCUAACUCACAGAUACCAGAGCUGAAUAUCCAUCAGCCCACCAAGCUCGCAGAGCCCAACUGCUGCAGCCCCCGGGAGGUCUGCCCAUGGCCUCCUACCUGUGGUAUAUUGUGGCUGCUGUCUGCAAAGAAACACAUGGGGCCUCUUUGGAGGAUGUGUAGGAGGAGCUUGUCCAACAAUGGCGUCACUGUUGGGUUGGGUGGCACUGGGUCAGUUAGGAAUGCUUUUGGCUGCAAGCCACUGAAAGUCCGACAAUGUUUUAAUUUUUUUUUUCUUAGUAGCAUGAGUCUCUAGGUGAAUGACUGCUGGCAUCCAUUCCAUGAUUCCAUGUCUUCAGGGACAGCAUCUUUAUGAGUCCCUUGAUGAUUCACUCAUGUGUAUGGUCCAUAACCAUUAGAUGUCUGCCCCAGCUCCAGGCAUCGGGUCCAAACUCAUGGUAAGGAAGAUGGAAGAGAUGCACCAGUAACUCUUGUGUGUGUUAUUAGGGAAACAAUUUUCCUAGACCCUGCAUCAGACUUCCCUUGACAUCUCAUGGGCCCGAAAUAGUCAUGUUGCCAUCCCUAGCAGCAAGGGAGUCUGGGAAAGAAGAUAUUUGGUACUUCUAGUCUACAAUGAAUUUGGGCAAUGGAGAGUGAAGUUAGGUCUUAAAUUAAUCAAACAAAAGGAUCUGCCACCACAUUUCUUGCGUUCACUUGGUUGGUUCCAUUGCAUGUGAACAUGAAAUAUACUUGGUUUGGGCUGAUCAGGCUUAGCAGCAACUUUUAUCUCACCUUGUCUCUUCUAACUCCCAUGGCAAAGUUGGCUCUUCGAAAAAGCCUCUUUGUCCAUCCUUGGUGAAACCCAGGGCUUAGUUGGCCAGGACUGGGACACAGGGCAUCCCUAGGGCCCUGUAGCAUGGAUGAUGAUGACUGAUGAUGGGGUGGUGGUGAUAAAAAAUAGUCACAUGAGAUAAGUUCUAUUAUUAUUCCCAUUUUUCGGACAAGGAGACUGGGGUUUAGAGAAGUUGCAUGAAGUGACAGCACUCUAAGAGCCUGAGUUUGUGGUCACUGUGCCAUACCUUCCUGGAAUUCACUUUCCAGGACCAGAAGACCAGAAGGUAGCAAAUCUCCAAGGACUACAAAGGCCAGGAAUGGGGAAAUGUUCUGAGAUUAAUGAUCCAGGUAAUGCCACCGAUUGUCCAAAAUUGGUUACAUGCACAGCAUCAGUGAAGUUGAACGUGGUCUGGAGAGGCAGCAGACACACCACACACCUAGCUUUAUCCCACAGCUCGUUAAUCACCCUCAAUUCAAAAGCAUUUAUCAUGAUUAGAUUCAGGCCUGUCCCUGUGGUAAUAGAUUUUUUUUUUAUAGAUACAAUGCAAAUAGAAAAUCACAUGUCCCCUGUGGCCUCUAAAGGUCAAGAUCUGGAGAUCAGGAUCAUUCAUUCAUUUAACAAAUAUAUAUUGUGUACCUACUGUGUGCCAGACACUGUUCUAGAUACUGGAAAUCCAGCAGGGAUCAAAAUGAAUAAAAACCUCUGCCUUCCUGGUGUGUAUACAUCUUUCCCCCUCAGGGGCAUGGCAGGCAGUAAAGAAAAUUAAGAGGUAAGUUGUAAAGAUUGUUAUAUGGUGUUCUCAUGCUCCCAGGAAAGGACUGAUUAUUCUAGUCAUGGGUACAAGUUUCCACCAGAACUAGUUUUAAACCUGUCUAAUCCAUCAAUGACACUUCUACACUUAAUGAAUUGAAGUGACAACUCACUUCAAUGAACACAAUUCUGAAAGCCAAGCAAUCAGUGACAGCUCCAUGGUGCAGAAGCCAGCCAAUUGCUGGUGGACUGGCUUCUGUGAACACACGUCUGAGGCUAACAUCAACUCAUUCCUGCCUCUAAAGCCAACACAACCCCAAAUAGACUCUUCCCAGUGACUAUAAAAGACCAGCGGUUUGCUCUGCUCAGAGAAACUCACGUGAUCAGCCUGGCUUUUCCUUUACUUAGGCAUAAGAAAUAUUUUCAGGAGUUCCUGUUGUGGCUCAGCAGUUUAAGAACCCAAUUGGUAUCCACAAAGAUGCAGGUUCCAUCCCUGGCCCCACUCAGUGGGUUAAGGAUCCGGCUUUGCCGCAAGCUGUGGUGUAGGUGGCAGACACAGCUCAGAUCUGGUGUUGCUAUGGCUGUGGUGUAGGCCGGUAGCUGUAGCUCCGAUUUGACCCCUAGCCUAGGAACCUCCAUAUGCCGCACCUUUGCACCCCCCACAAAAAAAAUAGGAUCUGGCGUUGCUGCAUUGGUCAUAGAUGCACCUCUAGCUAGGAUCUGGCAUUACUAUUGCUGUUGCUGUGGCAGUGGCAUAGGCCAGCAGCUGCAGCUUCAAUUUGAGCCCUAGCCUGGGAAAUUUCAUAUGCCUCAGGUGCACCCCUACCCCCAAAAAACUAAAAGAAAGAAAUAUUUUCAGAUUUUGAGUGGCAGUCUUUGAUCAAGCUGGAGAUUCCAAUGAGAUUAUUUUGAAGGCCCUCAGUCCAACAGGUGGCUCACCAGCUCCUUUGUGCCCACGUGUAAUUACUGUUUUCUCUGACAUGUUUCAUUAAAAUAUCUUUGCUGAACUUAUUUCCUUAUCCUAGGAUUUGUAACCAAAUGGUUCUUUGUACAAGGAAAUUAGGCCUCAGUCAUUGUAUGAUGAGAACUUUUUUUGGAGUUGUGUCAUUUCGUGAGUAUUUUUGCCAUUAAUCUGUUUAUUCUUUUCCUGCUUGCUUUGCUUUUGGUUUUGUUUGACCAUUUGUACAAAGUCUUGUCUUGUAUGUUUUUGUUUUGACCUGGAUUACCUUGUGUCCGUUGAAAGCAUAGAGAACGCUCCACGGGGAGAGCUGGACAUGUAGGCUCCAAUCCAAUUCAAGCCAGCCCCAAGGACCACAAGCUGGAGGUCCAGAGACCAGUAAAUAAUUCAUGCCGAAGUGAUGGAUCAAAUUCUGUUCUGAGUCCCCUUCAAAAUUUUAUGAGAUGACUCCCCGUCUUAUUGAUUUAUAAAAGAAGGCCUCUUUGUUCAGUUUAUCCCAAGGUCAACAAUUGUUGGAUUAUUGACUCUCUGACCCCCCCGCCUCCAGCCUUUGUUGGAUUGAAGAAUCUGAAACACUAUUCAUAAGCACAAAUACUUUGGACCAACCACGGUGGUCUCUCUGUCCUAGGUUUGGCUAUGUCAAAGUUUUAACCUCCUCCUGGCCAAAUUCCUGCUUUUCCUAUGAAUUUUCAUUUAACUGGGUAAAU
Molecule: long non-coding RNA, 5208 nt
Filed under: Sus scrofa (pig)
Lineage: Eukaryota; Metazoa; Chordata; Mammalia; Artiodactyla; Suidae
Description: lncRNA (ENSSSCG00000048614.2)
Source: RNAcentral